RNAcentral lists this ribosomal RNA (496 nucleotides) under uncultured bacterium. RNAcentral's name for it is "partial 16S ribosomal RNA". It matches the Rfam family "Bacterial small subunit ribosomal RNA", at positions 29 to 507 of the family's 1533-position model. The record is from RNAcentral.
AUGAACGCUGGCGGCGUGCCUAAUACAUGCAAGUCGAGCGAACAGAUGAGGAGCUUGCUCCUCUGACGUUAGCGGCGGACGGGUGAGUAACACGUGGAUAACCUACCUAUAAGACUGGGAUAACUUCGGGAAACCGGAGCUAAUACCGGAUAAUAUAUUGAACCGCAUGGUUCAAUAGUGAAAGACGGUUUUGCUGUCACUUAUAGAUGGAUCCGCGCCGCAUUAGCUAGUUGGUAAGGUAACGGCUUACCAAGGCAACGAUGCGUAGCCGACCUGAGAGGGGGAUCGGCCACACGGGAACUGAGACACGGUCCAGACUCCUACGGGAGGCAGCAGUAGGGAAUCUUCCGCAAUGGGCGAAAGCCUGACGGAGCAACGCCGCGUGAGUGAUGAAGGUCUUCGGAUCGUAAAACUCUGUUAUUAGGGAAGAACAAAUGUGUAAGUAACUAUGCACGUCUUGACGGUACCUAAUCAGAAAGCCACGGCUAACUACGUG